Molecule: ribosomal RNA, 464 nt
Filed under: uncultured bacterium
Lineage: Bacteria
Description: partial 16S ribosomal RNA
Rfam family: Bacterial small subunit ribosomal RNA
Source: RNAcentral
ACGAACGCUGGCGGCGUGCUUAACACAUGCAAGUCGAACGGAAAGGCCCUGCUUGCAGGGUACUCGAGUGGCGAACGGGUGAGUAACACGUGGGUGAUCUGCCCUGCACUUCGGGAUAAGCCUGGGGAACUGGGUCUAAUACCGGAUAUGACCUUCCAUGUAGUGUGGGGGGUGGAAAGAUUUAUCGGUGUGGGAUGAGCCCGCGGCCUAUCAGCUUGUUGGUGGGGUAAUGGCCUACCAAGGCGUCGACGGGUAGCCGGCCUGAGAGGGUGGACGGCCACAUUGGGACUGAGAUACGGCCCAGACUCCUACGGGAGGCAGCAGUGGGGAAUAUUGCACAAUGGGCGGAAGCCUGAUGCAGCGACGCCGCGUGGGGGAUGACGGCCUUCGGGUUGUAAACCUCUUUCGACAGGGACGAAGCUUCGGUGACGGUACCUGUAUAAGAAGCACCGGCUAACUACGUG